ACGCUCGACACCUACGGGAGGCAGCAGUGAGGAAUAUUGGUCAAUGGGCGCUAGCCUGAACCAGCCAAGUAGCGUGAAGGAUGAAGGCUCUAUGGGUCGUAAACUUCUUUUUAUAUAAGAAUAAAGUGCAGUAUGUAUACUGUUUUGUAUGUAUUAUAUGAAUAAGGAUCGGCUAACUCCGUGCUAGCAGCCGCGGUAAUCUGAGCGGGCUGGCAAGGC
This 219-nucleotide ribosomal RNA is filed under the name uncultured bacterium. RNAcentral's name for it is "partial 16S ribosomal RNA". It matches the Rfam family "Bacterial small subunit ribosomal RNA", at positions 328 to 539 of the family's 1533-position model. The record is from RNAcentral.